RNAcentral lists this ribosomal RNA (253 nucleotides) under uncultured bacterium. RNAcentral describes it as "partial 16S ribosomal RNA". It matches the Rfam family "Bacterial small subunit ribosomal RNA", at positions 524 to 776 of the family's 1533-position model. The record is from RNAcentral.
UACAGAGGGUGCUAGCGUUGCUCGGAAUCAUUGGGCGUAAAGCGCGUGUAGGCGGUCCGGUAAGUCCGCUGUGAAAGUCGGGGGCUCAACCCUCGAAUGCCGGUGGAUACUGUCGGGCUAGAGUGCGGAAGAGGCGAGUGGAAUUCCUGGUGUAGCGGUGAAAUGCGCAGAUAUCAGGAGGAACACCGGUGGCGAAGGCGGGUCUCUGGGCCGAUACUGACGCUGAGGAGCGAAAGCGUGGGGAGCAAACAGG